Long non-coding RNA from Passer montanus (Eurasian tree sparrow), 299 nucleotides. RefSeq lists it as uncharacterized. The transcript is spliced from 3 exons. The record is from RefSeq and is a predicted model, not a curated record. Lineage: Eukaryota; Metazoa; Chordata; Aves; Passeriformes; Passeridae.
GGCGUCUCCAGCCCAACACGCACUCGAGGAGCGGCGCGUGGGGGUUUUUCCUCCUUUCCCAUCGAAACCAAACACACAGGGGAUCGAGGAUGAAAAGAAGAAAUACAGAACUGCUGCUUCUGGGAAUUAUGCAAAGAUGGAGAGGGACCUUUUCUCUGUCCUGAAGCCACCAGCCAUGCCCAGGCAAUCCCCAGCUAUUCUUGAAGAGCAUUUCCAGCAGCUAUUGUUUCUGUGGGCAGGCAGAGGAAAAGCUUACACGGCCAAGGAGACGUCAUGUCACAAGUGACAGAGUAGAAAGG